This 503-nucleotide ribosomal RNA is filed under the name uncultured bacterium. Its description in RNAcentral is "partial 16S ribosomal RNA". It matches the Rfam family "Bacterial small subunit ribosomal RNA", at positions 30 to 523 of the family's 1533-position model. The record is from RNAcentral.
AUUGAACGCUGGCGGCAGGCUUAACACAUGCAAGUCGAGCGGGGUGAUGGUGCUUGCACUAUCACUUAGCGGCGGACGGGUGAGUAAUGCUUAGGAAUCUGCCUAUUAGUGGGGGACAACAUCUCGAAAGGGAUGCUAAUACCGCAUACGUCCUACGGGAGAAAGCAGGGGAUCACUUGUGACCUUGCGCUAAUAGAUGAGCCUAAGUCGGAUUAGCUAGUUGGUGGGGUAAAGGCCUACCAAGGCGACGAUCUGUAGCGGGUCUGAGAGGAUGAUCCGCCACACUGGGACUGAGCAACGGCCCAGACUCCUACGGGAGGUAGCAGUGGGGAAUAUUGGACAAUGGGGGGAACCCUGAUCCAGCCAUGCCGCGUGUGUGAAGAAGGCCUUAUGGUUGUAAAGCACUUUAAGCGAGGAGGAGGCUCUUUUGGUUAAUACCCAAGAUGAGUGGACGUUACUCGCAGAAUAAGCACCGGCUAACUCUGUGCCAGCAGCCGCGGUAA